RNAcentral lists this transfer RNA (72 nucleotides) under Camelus bactrianus (Bactrian camel). It matches the Rfam family "tRNA". From Rfam's summary of the family: Transfer RNA (tRNA) molecules are approximately 80 nucleotides in length. Their secondary structure includes four short double-helical elements and three loops (D, anti-codon, and T loops). Lineage: Eukaryota; Metazoa; Chordata; Mammalia; Artiodactyla; Camelidae. RNAcentral also lists the same sequence under 1 other name. The record is from Rfam by way of RNAcentral.
GAGGGUAUAGCUCAGUGGUAGAGUGCAUGCUUGGCAUGCACGAGGUCCUGGGUUCAAUCCCCAAUACCUCCA